CCUGAUCCUAGAUCAGCACUCCUGCUCUGAGAUGCUUUGUGGUUAUGAGUCCUGGUCCUAUACAGCCACAGCUCUGGGAGCAGUUUUCUAGUUCUCUGUUAUACAUUGAACAAAAAUAUAAACGCAACAUGUAAAGUGUUGGUCCCAUGUUUCAUGAGCUGAAAUAAAAGAUCCCAGACAUUUUCCAUACGCAAAAAAAAGCUUAUUUAUCUCUGAUUUUGUGCACAAAUUUGUUUACAUCCAUGUUAGUGAGCAUUUCUCCUUUGCCAAGAUAAUCCAUUCACCUGACAGGUGCGGCAUAUCAAGAAGCUGAUUAAACAGCGUGAUCACAAGGUGCACCUUGUGCUGGGGACAAUAAAAGGCAGUUUUGUUACACAACACAAUGCCACAGAUGUCUCAAGUUUUGAGGGAGCGUGCAAUUGGCAUGCUGACUGCAGGAAUGUCCACCAGAGCUGUUGCCAGGGAAUGUAAUGUUCAUUUCUCUACCAAUGUUGUUUUAGAGAAUUUGGCAGUAUGUCCAACCAGCCUCACAACCGCCGAUCACGUGCAACCACGCCAGCCCAGGACCUCAACAUCCGGCUUUUCACCUGUGGGAUCGUCUGAGAUCAGUCACCCAUCACCCGGACAGCUGAUGAAACUGAGGAGUAUUUCUGUCUAUAAUAAAGCCCUUUUGUGGGGAAAAACGCAUUCUGAUUGUCUGGGCCUGGCUCCUCAGUGGCUGGGCCUGGCACCCCUGCCCAGUCAUGUGAAAUCCAUAGAUUAGGGCUUAAUGAAUUUAUGUCAAUUGACUGAUUUCCUUAUAUGAACUGUAACUCAGUAAAAUCUUUGAAAUUGUUGCGUUUAUAUUUUUGUUCAGUAUACUUAGGGCCAGGAGUUUUCCCUGACCGUGUGACCUGACUGGGACAAACUCCAGGCCCCUACUAGUAAUAGUUGUAGGCUAUUUGCUUUAUGACAGCAUUUAAUUAGGGCCCAGAGUUUUUCCUGCAUGUUCAGGUGAUGUGGUGAGGAACACUACGAUGAUAGAUAUCUGUCAAAAUGUUGUAAAUUAAUGAAAUAUAUUGACAGAAAUGUAUCUCCAUAAAAAACUCCUGGCCCUAAUCAUGCUAUCAGCUCUAUACGUAAUAUGAAUACAGGCAGUCUGAUGAUAUUUACAUGGUAUAUACAGAUUAACACUUCAACAUACUGUUGCUUUAGAGAGUGUGACCAAAUCUCAAAUGACAGUGUCUCACUAUUCCAGCGCACUACUUUUGACCAGAGCCAACUUACCCUUUGAAGAACCCUUUUUGGUUCUUCAAAGGGUUCACCUAUGGGGACCACCGAGGAACCUUUUUUGCACAUUCUUUUCUAACAGUGUAUGUAGAAGUAGUGCACUAGAUAGGGAAUAGGGUGUCAUUUGAGAUCAAGUCUUACAAAUUAUAUUUCAGUUUGUUUGUUUGUUUGUUUGUUUAGCAUCAUGAUGACCAGAUGGUUGGUAACAGCUUGUUAUGUGGCAGUUUGAUGUCGACGCAGAAACAAGAUAUAAAACACAAACUGGCAAGUGGGCAUUUCUUUCUGUCCCCUCUCUGUCUCUCUCUUUCUGUCUCUCUCUCUCUGUCUCUCUCUCUUUCUGUCUCUCUCUCUCUCUCUCUCUCUUUCUGUCUCUCAGACUUGUAUUGUUCUGUGGGGAGUUUGUGGAGAGCUUUAAGUGUUCUCCAU
RNAcentral lists this long non-coding RNA (1695 nucleotides) under Salmo salar (Atlantic salmon). RNAcentral describes it as "lncRNA (ENSSSAG00000114660.1)". The record is from RNAcentral. Lineage: Eukaryota; Metazoa; Chordata; Actinopteri; Salmoniformes; Salmonidae.